This 304-nucleotide ribosomal RNA is filed under the name uncultured bacterium. RNAcentral describes it as "partial 16S ribosomal RNA". It matches the Rfam family "Bacterial small subunit ribosomal RNA", at positions 506 to 809 of the family's 1533-position model. The record is from RNAcentral.
CAGCAGUAGCCGCGGGAAUACAGAGGGUGCGAGCGUUAAUCGGAUUUACUGGGCGUAAAGCGUGCGUAGGCGGCUUUUUAAGUCGGAUGUGAAAUCCCUGAGCUUAACUUAGGAAUUGCAUUCGAUACUGGGAAGCUAGAGUAUGGGAGAGGAUGGUAGAAUUCCAGGUGUAGCGGUGAAAUGCGUAGAGAUCUGGAGGAAUACCGAUGGCGAAGGCAGCCAUCUGGCCUAAUACUGACGCUGAGGUACGAAAGCAUGGGGAGCAAACAGGAUUAGAUACCCCUGUAGUCCCUGUCUCUUAUAA